RNAcentral lists this ribosomal RNA (673 nucleotides) under Rhynchocyon cirnei reichardi. RNAcentral's name for it is "partial 12S ribosomal RNA". It matches the Rfam family "Bacterial small subunit ribosomal RNA", at positions 190 to 1254 of the family's 1533-position model. Lineage: Eukaryota; Metazoa; Chordata; Mammalia; Macroscelidea; Macroscelididae. The record is from RNAcentral.
UGAAAAUGCCCUUUAAACCAUUUUGGUAUCAAGGAGCUGGUAUCAAGCACACUACACAGUAGCUCAUAACACCUUGCACAGCCACACCCCCACGGGAAACAGCAGUAACAAAAAUUAAGUAAUAAACGAAAGUUCGACUAAGUUAUGCUAAUCAGGGCUGGUCAACUUCGUGCCAGCCACCGCGGUCAUACGAACAGCCCAAAUUAAUAGAACUCGGCGUAAAGAGUGGUUAUGACAUUAAUACACUAAAGUUAAAUUUAACCUCAGCUGUAAAAAGCUAAAGGUCUAAAAUUAAAUACCCUACGAAAGUGACUUUAACAAAUCAGAAUCCACGAUAGCUAAGAUACAAACUGGGAUUAGAUACCCCACUAUGCCUAGCCUUAAACCUAAUUAAUUAGUAACAAAAUUACUCGCCAGAGAACUACGAGCAAAAGCUUAAAACUCAAAGGACUUGGCGGUGCUUUAUAUCCACCUAGAGGAGCCUGUUGUAUAAUCGAUAAACCCCGCUAAACCCCACCAUCAUUUGCUAAUCCAGUCUAUAUACCGCCAUCUUCAGCAAACCCUUAAAAGGAGUCAAAGUAAGCUUAAUUAUACUUAAUAAAAACGUUAGGUCAAGGUGUAACUUAUAUGAUGGAAACUAAUGGGCUACAUUCUCUUUCAAAGAGCAUUAACG